UACGGAGGGUGCAAGCGUUAUCCGGAUUCACUGGGUUUAAAGGGCGCGUAGGCGGUCGGUCAAGUCCGGGGUGAAAUCCUGCAGCUCAACUGUAGAAGUGCCUUGGAUACUGACUGGCUCGAGGGAGGUAGGGGUCUGUGGAACUUCUGGUGGAGCGGUGAAAUGCGUUGAUAUCAGAAGGAACGCCGGUGGCGAAAGCGACAGACUGGACCUUUUCUAACGCUGAGGCGCGAAAGCUAGGGGAGCAAACGGG
Molecule: ribosomal RNA, 253 nt
Filed under: uncultured bacterium
Lineage: Bacteria
Description: partial 16S ribosomal RNA
Rfam family: Bacterial small subunit ribosomal RNA
Source: RNAcentral